GACAGAGGGGGCAAGCGUUGCUCGGAAUCACUGGGCGUAAAGGGCGCGUAGGCGGGAUGGCAAGUCAGUCGUGAAAUCUCUCGGCUCAACCGAGAAACGUCGGCUGAUACUGCCGUUCUUGAGGGAUGCAGAGGAGACUGGAAUUCCUGGUGUAGCGGUGGAAUGCGCAGAUAUCAGGAGGAACACCGAUGGCGAAGGCAGGUCACUGGGCCGCAACUGACGCUGAGGAGCGAAAGCAUGGGGAGCGAACAGG
Molecule: ribosomal RNA, 253 nt
Filed under: uncultured bacterium
Lineage: Bacteria
Description: partial 16S ribosomal RNA
Rfam family: Bacterial small subunit ribosomal RNA
Source: RNAcentral